Non-coding RNA from Misgurnus anguillicaudatus (oriental weatherfish), 1259 nucleotides. The record is from RefSeq and is a predicted model, not a curated record. NCBI's taxonomy places the organism in Eukaryota, Metazoa, Chordata, Actinopteri, Cypriniformes, Cobitidae.
UCUAUAUAGAACCAUAGCUUACUGAAGAACCCUUUUUUGCUGAAAUGGUUCUUUGUCUUGGCAAAAGGGUUCUUUUUUCCCUCCUUUUUUGAUUUUAAAUUUAGUCAGUUAUUUUCAAGCUGCCUCUUGAUUAUUUUCACCUGUAAAAGCCCUGAAUCAUCAGUCCUGCUGAACUGCCUGCAGACUAACAACACAAACAGGUAAGAGAGGAAAAUAAUCAUCAUUUACUGUUAAAAACAUUUUGAAAAUUGAAGUUUUGUGUGUUCUUAUUGUAAUUUAUUUAUUUUAUAACAGGUAAGCUUUAUACUGAAAGCUUCAUUCCCUUUAAAGCAGAGUUUUUAUAUUUGAGGUAAUCUUGCUGGGAGUGAAGGCAGUGCGUAUGAUCGCUUGAUAUGAGACACACAUACUGUAUUUAAAGGUCAACUUUAUACGUAAGCUUCAUUCCAUUUAUAACAGAGUUUUCAUAUGUGAGGUAAUCUUACUGGGAGUGAAGGCAGUGCAUAUGACCACUUGAUAUGAAAGACACAUCCUGUUUUUAAAGGUGGAUCAUGAGUGAAGCUCUGCAGGUCUGCCAUUAGCUUGAUAACAGUGGUUUAUGUGAAUUGAGUGAAUUCAAUUUAUAAAUAAAUCUUUCACCAAGCAUUCACCUAUUUACGGACAAAACAGAUCCAAAUCUUGUUCAGCCUGAUGCUCAACACAGCCAGGUGAUGGAGAUCUGUUUUAAUCACAGCCUGCGUCUCAAGAUCAACAUGACAAUAGCAGACCAUUUCUUAUCUUACUCUUAUCUGACUAAAUGUUCAGCAUCAUUGCAACAAAACAAAGAACAUUGGAUGGAGUAUUGGAGUAUUGGAUGAUCCCGUAAAGAAAAUAAUAUUGACUUUUUUGGUGAGAUUCUACAAAUAUUGACACAAUCCUAUUGACUUUUAUUUUUACAGUUAAUAAUGCAUUAUAAACAUCCCAUUCAUUUGUAUUCUAUGUCAUCGAUCUGUUUGUGCUAAAAUGUAUACAUCUGAAUGUAAUGUCAAUAAUAUGUUAAUAUUCAGGAUUUAUUAUCAUUUGCAUGUUUUGAUGUUGCAUAUCAUGAUUUUAUUGAUUUCAUGUAAUUGUUGUCUAUUUAAAAUUAUUUUAAUUGCCAAAUUUUUUUGUUACUUUAUUAAAUAUUGAAGCUGUUAUUUAACAUCCAUAUCUUAUUUGAGUAGUGAUAGGUUAUUUGCAUAAUAAUUCAUAUAUUUAUUUUGAUUGUGAUUUUAAUGCAAAUA